UUUUUUUUAAAAAAGAAUAAGAGGAGAAUAAACACAAACUUCAAAAAAAAAAGAGAAUCGACGAAACUGAUGAAAAGUGUUUUUGGUAUUUUGACUCGUUUCGGAUUUGAUUUUACCUUCAAAAAUAACACCGAACGGCCUGAAACUGAUACCAACUGAUGCGGAAACCCCGGAUCUAGACACAAGAGAAACACAAAUUAGAAAUAAAAAUGAGAAUAAAUAAAAUUAAUUAAAUAAUAAUAAAUAAAAAGAAAAAAUGAUAGAUUUGCCCUAUGGAACCCUUGGUUAACUUGUAACCAAAAACGCCAAUAAUUAAGCGGCUCCCUACGAAAC
RNAcentral lists this long non-coding RNA (333 nucleotides) under Gossypium raimondii (Peruvian cotton). RNAcentral's name for it is "long non-coding RNA (GRAI_LNC002891)". The record is from RNAcentral. Lineage: Eukaryota; Viridiplantae; Streptophyta; Magnoliopsida; Malvales; Malvaceae.